UGAGUACGAGCUGCUACGGCAGCGAAGUGGGUGAUGUCAAGCUUCCAAGAAAAGCCCUAUACCCGUUAAGGCAUGACGGCCUGUACCCGAAACCGACACAGGUGGGGUGGUAGAGAAUACCGAGGGGCGCGAGGUAACUCUCUCUAAGGAACUCGGCAAAAUGGCCCCGUAACUUCGGGAGAAGGGGUGCCACCGCAAGGUGGUCGCAGUGAAGAGGCCCAGGCGACUGUUUACCAAAAACACAGGUCUCCGCUAAGUCGCAAGACGAUGUAUGGGGGCUGACGCCUGCCCAGUGCCGGAAGGUUAAGGAAGCUGGUCAGCGUAAGCGAAGCUGGCGACUGAAGCCCCGGUGAACGGCGGCCGUAACUAUAACGGUCCUAAGGUAGCGAAAUUCCUUGUCGGGCAAGUUCCGACCCGCACGAAAGGCGUAACGAUCUGGGCGCUGUCUCGGAGAGAGGCUCGGCGAAAUAGAAUUGUCUGUGAAGAUGCGGACUACGUGCACCCGGACAGAAAGACCCUAUGAAGCUUUACUGUAGCUUGGUAUUGUGCCCGGGCUCUGAAUGCGCAGGAUAGGUGGGAGGCUUUGAUCCAUUGCUUGUGGGUGAUGGUGAGCCAACGGUGAGGUACCACUCUUUCAGAGCUAGGGUUCUAACGGUCACCCGUCAUCCGGGGACCGGACAGUAUCAGGUGGGCAGUUUGACUGGGGCGGUCGCCUCCUAAAAGGUAACGGAGGCGCGCAAAGGUUCCCUCAGGCUGGUUGGAAAUCAGCCGACGAGUGUAAAGGCAGAAGGGAGCUUGACUGUGAGACCUACAAGUCGAACAGGGACGAAAGUCGGCCUUAGUGAUCCGACGGUUCUGUGUGGAAGGGCCGUCGCUCAACGGAUAAAAGUUACUCUAGGAUAACAGGCUGAUCUCCCCCAAGAGUUCACAUCGACGGGGAGGUUUGGCACCUCGAUGUCGGCUCAUCGCAACCUGGGGCUGAAGUCGGUCCCAAGGGUUGGGCUGUUCGCCCAUUAAAGCGGUACGCGAGCUGGUUCAGAACGUCGUGAGACAGUUCGGUCCAUAUCCGGUGCAUGCGCAGGAAUAUUGAGAGGAUUUCUCCCUAGUACGAGAGGACCGGGAGGAACGCACCUCUGGUGUGCCAGUUAUCGUGCCAACGGUAAACGCUGGGUAGCCAUGUGCGGAGAGGAUAACCGCUGAAAGCAUCUAAGUGGGAAGCCCACCUCAAGAUGAGUAUUCCCAUGGCGUUAGCCAGUAAGGUCACGGGAAGAACACCCGUUGAUAGGCUCUACGUGGAAGCCGGGUAACCGGUGAAGCGGAGGAGUACUAAUAGACCGAGGGCUUGACCG
RNAcentral lists this ribosomal RNA (1349 nucleotides) under metagenome. RNAcentral describes it as "bacterial LSU rRNA". It matches the Rfam family "Bacterial large subunit ribosomal RNA", at positions 1564 to 2925 of the family's 2925-position model. The record is from RNAcentral.